This 414-nucleotide ribosomal RNA is filed under the name Siamoconus geotrochoides. RNAcentral describes it as "Euconulidae sp. g AP-2023 partial large subunit ribosomal RNA". The record is from RNAcentral. Lineage: Eukaryota; Metazoa; Mollusca; Gastropoda; Stylommatophora; Euconulidae.
CGUUUUAUGAUAUUAAUAUAAAAUUAAAUCUGCCCAGUGAAAUUUAAACGGCCGCAGUACUUUGACUGUGCUAAGGUAGCAUAAUAAAUUGGCUUUUAAUUGGAGUCUUGUAUAAAAGAAUUCAUGGAUAAUUUCUGUCUUUAUAUAAGUUUUUAAAAUUUACUUUUAAGGUGAAAAUACCUUUAAAUAUUUAAUAGACGAGAAGACCCUAGGAGUUAUUGUUUUUGUUGGGGCGACAUUUCUUCAUUUAACAUGAAUAAAUUAUUUUGUAGAUUUAACGAUUAUUAUAAUUUUAAUUUAACUACCCUAGGGAUAACAGCAUAAUUUAUUUUUAAGUUUAUGACCUCGAUGUUGGAUUAGGAAAGUUUAAGGUUAAUAAUUUUAAUUCUAUGUUCUGUUCGAACAAAAAUUCCU